This 614-nucleotide long non-coding RNA is filed under the name Vigna radiata. RNAcentral's name for it is "long non-coding RNA (VRAD_LNC018010)". Lineage: Eukaryota; Viridiplantae; Streptophyta; Magnoliopsida; Fabales; Fabaceae. The record is from RNAcentral.
UAUUGUUCUCCCUCUUCAUUUUCGUUCUCCCUCCAUUUUCGUCCUCUCUCCAAGCUUUGUUCAACCUCCUCAAUUUCGUGGGACGGACCAAAAGCUCUCGUUGACGGUAUUAUGCGCAACGACAUCCUCCGGUGAGGUUGGUGGUUCGAGCAAGGUAAAUGGGUUUUUUCAUUUUCUUAAAUGUGUUAUGGGUUUGACUUUAGGUUUUCGUUUUGGGUUUUCGGUUUUGGUUCUGUGUUUUGUUUAAUAGGGGUUUUAUUUCUUGGUUUUGGGGUUUUGUUUAAUUGUGCUUUUAUUGUUUUGGAGGCAAAGUUGGCUGAAGAGAAGAAUAAACAUAGGAAUAAAGAUGAUGGUGAACAGGCUCAUCAAGAAUCCCACAUGAACACUCCCUUUGUAAGCCCAGGAGGCAUUUACACUAACCAACCCACUAUAGAGAGGUUUGUAAGGGUCAGAUCACGAAAGCGAUACAAGAGUAGAGCCCUUAGGACUCCGUACAUUGGAAAUAGGACGAAACAUGAGUUAUUUGUGCAUUUAAUUAUUAUAGAAAGUAAGAGAUCAUUGUACAUAUAUGAACAAAAUAAUGUAUUGUAACAUUUCUUUUAACGUUAAUGAAG